RNAcentral lists this ribosomal RNA (500 nucleotides) under uncultured bacterium. RNAcentral describes it as "partial 16S ribosomal RNA". It matches the Rfam family "Bacterial small subunit ribosomal RNA", at positions 30 to 523 of the family's 1533-position model. The record is from RNAcentral.
AUUGAACGCUGGCGGAAUGCUUUACACAUGCAAGUCGAACGGCAGCACGGACUUCGGUCUGGUGGCGAGUGGCGAACGGGUGAGUAACAUAUCGGAACGUAUCCAAUAAUGGGGGAUAACUAAUCGAAAGGUUGGCUAAUACCGCAUACGCCCUACGGGGGAAAGCAGGGGAUCUUCGGACCUUGCGUUAAUGGAGCGGCUGAUAUCUGAUUAGCUAGUUGGUGAGGUAAAGGCUCACCAAGGCGACGAUCAGUAGCUGGUCUGAGAGGACGACCAGCCACACUGGAACUGGGACACGGUCCAGACUCCUACGGGAGGCAGCAGUGGGGAAUUUUGGACAAUGGGCGCAAGCCUGAUCCAGCCAUUCCGCGUGAGUGAAGAAGGCCUUCGGGUUGUAAAGCUCUUUCGCAAGGGAAGAAAACUUACUUUCUAAUAAAGAGUGAGGUUGACGGUACCUUGAUAAGAAGCACCGGCUAACUACGUGCCAGCAGCCGCGGUAA